RNAcentral lists this ribosomal RNA (498 nucleotides) under uncultured bacterium. RNAcentral describes it as "partial 16S ribosomal RNA". It matches the Rfam family "Bacterial small subunit ribosomal RNA", at positions 30 to 523 of the family's 1533-position model. The record is from RNAcentral.
AUUGAACGCUGGCGGCAUGCCUUACACAUGCAAGUCGAACGGUAACAGGUCUUCGGAUGCUGACGAGUGGCGAACGGGUGAGUAAUACAUCGGAACGUGCCUAGUAGUGGGGGAUAACUACUCGAAAGAGUGGCUAAUACCGCAUGAGAUCUACGGAUGAAAGCAGGGGAUCGCAAGACCUUGUGCUACUAGAGCGGCCGAUGGCAGAUUAGGUAGUUGGUGGGAUAAAAGCUUACCAAGCCGACGAUCUGUAGCUGGUCUGAGGGGACGAUCAGCCACACUGGGACUGAGACACGGCCCAGACUCCUACGGGAGGCAGCAGUGGGGAAUUUUGGACAAUGGGCGAAAGCCUGAUCCAGCAAUGCCGCGUGCAGGAUGAAGGCCUUCGGGCUGUAAACUGCUUUUGUACGGAACGAAAAGCCCCGGGUUAAUACCCUGGGGUCAUGACGGUACCGUAAGAAUAAGCACCGGCUAACUACGUGCCAGCCGCCGCCGUAA